AGCUUUGCGCAGUGGCAGUAUCGUAGCCAAUGAGGUUUAUCUGAGGCGCGAUUAUUGCUAAUUGAAAGUUAACACAGACUUCU
RNAcentral lists this small nuclear RNA (83 nucleotides) under Zalophus californianus (California sea lion). Its description in RNAcentral is "U4 spliceosomal RNA (ENSZCAG00015022290.1)". It matches the Rfam family "U4 spliceosomal RNA", at positions 1 to 82 of the family's 138-position model. From Rfam's summary of the family: U4 small nuclear RNA (U4 snRNA) is a component of the major U2-dependent spliceosome. The structure of U4 snRNA from yeast and human has been reported. Lineage: Eukaryota; Metazoa; Chordata; Mammalia; Carnivora; Otariidae. The record is from RNAcentral.